CCUCAAUGGCGCCGUCCAAAUGCCGCCUCGCGUUGAAAAGGGGGCAAAAAGAAGGUAGGUGGCCUGGGGCAAACCGCCGCAUAGACGCCUCGCACGACGCGUGCCUGUGCACAGACCCGCAGAAUAACCGAAAGAAAAGCUAGGGUGGAGCGCUCGGCGUGCAGCGCGCACACUGGCACAGUGUGCCGCACCUACCAAGGUCGCCAUAAGACGUCGCCCAUUGGGCGGCGAGGGGGUGCGCCACACAGAGGCCAGGCACACGAUCGCGCAACCACGUCCAUGCGUUGGCGUGAUCGUACGAUGUCAUGCUGUCGAUGGCAAUUUGCGCGUCGGCAGUGCCAUAGCGAUCACACAGGCAGGCCACCACGCGCUGAUGGCCUUUUUCAAGCGCCGUCACGAGGGCCGACAACUUGUAAAUGCCGCCGUGCUCGAUGAUCGCGCGCACGGCGUCGGCGUUCCCAGAGCGCGCCGCAACUUCGACUGCGUCCCACCGGUCGAGCGGGAGCAUGCCAGAGGCGUGGGCCGCCAGGGCGACAUCGGCGUACCCUUUGGUGAGCGCGCAGGCGAUCAUUUUGGGCGUGACGGCUGAUGCCAUGUCGGGCCUCGACAGCAUCCAUGCGACCACGUCGGCGUUGCCACGCAUGGCGGCGGCCCAUGCGAUUGUGGGACUGUGCCAAGCCUCGACCGGACUACGCCUGGGCGGUAAAUUGUCGACGGCUUCGCCGGCGGCCCAUUUUAGCACGUUGAGCCGUCCGUGUCUGGCGGCCGUGUGCAAAACGCUGACGUCGCAGGGGGCCAAACCGUGGUCGUGCAUGAACCGCACGCAGGCUAGCGACCCAUUGGUGGCCGCACUGCGCAUCCAAUCCGGCGCGACGUUGAUGGAUCGCCGGUCCAACGCCGCCGUGACAAACAUCCACUCCAAUGGCGGGUCGGUGCGGAACGACAGGGCGAUUCCGGCCAUCUUUUCGUCAUGGGCGUGCGGCGCCGCGUCGCACCCAUUCUCCCGGAGCCAAUCAAGCAACGGCACGUGACCGCCCAAAACUGCCUCGCAGGCCACCUCCCGGCAGCACCCGCACGUCGCCAGAGUCGAUCGGCCGCUGGCGGUAAAGCGGCCUGUCCGCGCGAGUCCGUGGAGCAUCGCGACAAUGCGCACGUCCCCAACUUUGGCAGCGCGCGUCAUGCACAUGAUCUGCGUUCUCUUGGAUCUGUCGAGAGACGGGACCUCUGUGCGCAGGAGCGCGCCCAAGAGGUCGGCACGGCGCGCGUCGAUGGCCACCAUGGCGGCUUUGAUACCUUGGCCAGUCCCUGGUUCAAAGUGACGAUGCCAUCGGUGGUGGCUGUACAUGCAAGUGUUUGGACAGCCGCACCAUACAUCCGCGUGUGUCUCUUGGGCGACCGCGCUGGGGUGUUCCUCGUCCUCUAGACGGCAACACAGCCAGUCGACAAUGUCCUGGUCGCCCCGGCGUACGGCCGGCACAAGCAGGGACUCUAUGGGAACGUCAACGGACAGCACGGCCGCGACAACGGCGAGGGGCGCGCCGGCAUCAAUCGCGCCCUUGGGGUCGUCGUGGAAGUGGCGUACGGCCAAGUCGCGGACGAGGCACGGCGAGAAAAUGGGCGAGGCCAGGAUGCAGGCGACGGCGUCGCGUGGGCGCUCCAAAAAGUGGCCGAUGCCGAGGAUCACCUCGCUGGGCAUCGCCGCCAGGCCCGUGGUCAUGCCUUGGCCCUCUCGACCCGCGAGCGUUGUACCUUGCAUUGGAUAUUGUCAAAAAUGCCGUUAAAAAAAGGGUAUGAACUUUGGUGCGUUCUUCUUGC
Molecule: long non-coding RNA, 1815 nt
Filed under: Pandoravirus neocaledonia
Description: hypothetical ncRNA
Source: RNAcentral